GCACAGGGGGCAGUGGGGGGGGGGCAGGGCCAUUCCCCCUCCCGGGCCCCAGGACUCCCCACGCAGUCCGGGGCCAGCUGUGCCUGAGCGCCAGGGUCCCCUGGGUGCUGCUGGGAGCAGGGGCAGCAGGCCCGAGCUAAGCAGGCUCCGAGCACCUCGGGGAGGAGGACCGCGGUGGCCUUCGUCCCGGGCAGUGGAGCCACAGAGGGCAGAGGCAGGGCAGGCUGCACGGGCGCGUCCUGAGACCACUCUCGCUGCCGCAGAGGAGCUGCUGAGCCUGAGCCUUGGCCUCCCUGCUGGCCGGGCCUCCCGACCCCGGCUCAGGGCUCCUGGGGGGCCUCGGCCCUCGUGGUUACCUUAGCAACACAAACCACCUCAUCCACCCACACCGCUGUGCGCCAGGCCUGUUCCUGCCUGUCCACAUCCCGGCGACACAGACCUGCGGGACAGCCGGGCAGGUGCCCUGCGCCUCCGUCCCCAGGAGCCCCCCAGGGUUUCCAGGUGGGCCUGCGUCUGUCUCCCCCAGGUGCAGCUGGACGCCCUGCACCAGGCCCUCGAACAGAGCAGGCGGCACAGCCAGGGCCUGGCCAGAAAGCUGAGGCUGCUGGAAGACUGCAGGUGCCAGGAGGCCGCGGGGCUGGAGCCCCUGCAGCAGGCCCAGACGGCGGGGCGGGAGCCGUCUGCCCAGCACCAGCAGGACCCGGCUGGGGAGGCAGAGCGUCCGUGUGCGGCUCGGCUGCAGGCCCUGCAGGCCCCGGAGUCCCCCGAGCAGCCCCAUCAGCGGCAAAUAAAGGUGCUGGAGGAGCAGGUAGGGCCGGGUCCCCACCCCCGGGGGCACAGGGAAGGGAGGACUCGCACCCGCAGCAGCACCCGAUCGGGUGGCAGCCUGGGCUCUGCUGGACCCCUCCGGCCACGGGGCGCUCUCUGCUGCCGGCCGGGGGCCACGUGGCUCCGGCCCCCCUGCACCUCUGCCCCCCAAGGGCACAGGGCUGUGUGGCCUGUGUCACCCUCGCUUGGAGGCGGGGUGUGCGUGCUGGGCAGUGUCACACCCUCUCUGUGCCCGUCUGCAAGCGGGGUGGUGAGGACGGUCCCGUCGGGGUCGCAGGGCAUGAGGUGCCGAGAGGCCGCCCCACGCACGAGGUUGUCACUCAGAGCCGUCGCCAGGGCAGCGGCACACACGGGGGGAACACGGGCACGGCACGCUUGCCCCGGCCGAGCCUGGAGCUCGCAGCUGUCAGGGUCAGGGCGCUCUCUGGGCAAACCCUCGUUUGCAGAGGAGGAAACCGAGGCACAGAGAGGGGGAGUCACGGCCCAGCGUCGUUCCCGUGUUAGCGUCCCCGACACAUCAAAACACGUCUGCUAAGCUUACGAGCAGAGGGACGUUUAUUUCCGCAGCAUCCCGAGCGCUUUUGUGGCCGGGAUGGAAGGGGGUCGGUCUGCGGUGGGGUGUGGUGGCCCCGGGCCCAGGGCCCCAGGACGGGUGUUGGCAGCAAAAGCAGGAACUGCACGCCCUGCCUGCUGGUCCGUCUGUCCCUCUGCCUGGCGACUCUCCCUAGGCACCGUGGGCUGUGGCCUCCCGCCCUUCCUGCCACGGAGCUCUCCGCACCCCUUUGCCUCGGGGCCCAGGCCAGGCCCGCCCGCCCCACUGAGCCCCUGCCCUGUCCCCAGGUGGCCGCCCUGCGGGAGCAGCUGGACCGGGAAGAGCAGCGGCGGCAGCCACAGGCACAGGACGGCCAGGCCGGGCAGUGAGCCCUGUGCGGCCCGCCGGGAGCCACUGCUGGGAACACCAGCCCGUGCUCCGCACCAAGCGCCCAUCAGGGGCCAAUAGGGUGGGCGUGAUGCUGGCAGAGGGUGCAGGGUGUGUGCCCGCACCCUGGAGCCCCCGGGGGGGGGGCGGGCACACGCUGACCCCUCGGACUGCGGGACUCCUCCCGCCCCCGGGGGCCUCGGCCUGCAGCUGGCGCCGGACCUGCCGGGCUCACUCCUCUGCGACAGCCCCAC
Molecule: long non-coding RNA, 2001 nt
Filed under: Microcebus murinus (gray mouse lemur)
Lineage: Eukaryota; Metazoa; Chordata; Mammalia; Primates; Cheirogaleidae
Description: lncRNA (ENSMICG00000048547.1)
Source: RNAcentral